Long non-coding RNA from Vespa velutina, 2805 nucleotides. RefSeq lists it as uncharacterized. NCBI's taxonomy places the organism in Eukaryota, Metazoa, Arthropoda, Insecta, Hymenoptera, Vespidae. The transcript has 3 exons. The record is from RefSeq and is a predicted model, not a curated record.
GAGAGAGAGAGAGAGAGAUUAACGUUCUAUACAGUGCGACGUAUGCAAGCGCCCAUAUAAAGGGCUUCACAGGAGGAAUUAUACUCCUUGGUAUAUAGUGUUAUUACAUACAUAUGCCAGUCGUACAUUAAAACCAUAUUACGUCGUCGUGUGCGUAGCGUGUUCCGUACGAUUGCUUCGACCGUCGUCUGUAAACUUAACGGGGGUAUCGUAAAUUAAGCUACAGACGAGCGGCCAUUUUCUUUCUUCCUUCCUUCCUUCCUUCCUUUAUUUCUUUAUUUCUUUUUUCCUUUCUCUCUACGGGCAAAAAUAGUUUUAACGUAACAAAGUUCAACGACGUUACUAUGUCAAAAUGAAAUUAUAUUGCUGAUCAAGACCAAACGAAUUUCGAAGAACAAUAAACGCAUAUACGUAUGUAUAUAUGCAUCUUGAUAUAUAUGUAAAUACGAACGUGUGAAAAGACGACAUAUCGAGACAUGAAAGAAUAAAGAACGUGUCGCGGAAUCAUGCUCGAGUUGCACAGAUUUGCGAGCUCCAACAUUCACCGGGUCAAGUAAGGAGGAAAGGUUCCCUUGGUGGGAGAGGUACCCCGCUACCUUACUGGAGGACCCUCGUCCUGACUUCUGGUUACAAGGAGAAGGAGCUCUACUCUAAACACACACACAUACACACAUACACGCACGCACGCACGCACACAUACAUAUUGAUGCAUUGCGCAACAAUGCACCGCCACCUGCACUCGUUUCGUCACACAGCGGCUUUAAUCGGCUCUCGACGGUGCCUGCCACUGACUACUCGCAUUACUUUCGCCAAUUAAACUUUGACGGUCGUCAUUGUGUUUAACUUGAAUAUGAAAUUAUAGUCGCCGCGUUAUUUCAAAUAUCAAAACGAUCCAAAUUCCAAAAUAAUUACAGCCAUUUAAAAGGCAUUAGAAUGAAAAAAAAAUCAACGUUGCUCUUCUUUGUUUCAAUUUAUUUUUAUUUGUACCUCUUUUUUUUUUUUCUUUUUUUUUUUUUAUUUUUAUUUUUUUUUCCUCAUUUUACUUUGUUUCUUAUAUCAGCAAAUUCAGCAAAGAAUAAUUCGUGGACAAUUUCGCGCAUAUCGCGAUCGUCGAUUUAUUUUAAAUUCGACAUGAGCAUCAUUAGGGUCAAAUAUAAUGGUAAUAUAUUAUGAUAGAAUCGUAAUCGUAAUUAUUUAUUAAUGAAACGAAUUAUUUAGAAUGUCUUUCGAAAAGUAAUGAUGACGAUGGUAAUGACGUCGAUAAAGAGAUCUUGGUGAAUAUUGAUUGUCCUAUUGGACUUAUAUUAGAUUACAUUCGAGAAGUAAUACGAUUGGAUAAUACCUGUAUAUAAAUAUUUUAUAUGUUAAUUUAUAUUUGAAAUUAUCGUUUAGAUCUUUUAAUGUUUAAUGAAUGAAUUUCUAGGUAAAAUUGAUUUAUGCGAUGAAUUGAAUUGUCAAUUAAGAAAUUUGUCUAUCGCUGAAACAUCUACCUCAGGUUUAUAUCUAUUACAACCUGGCAUCACCUAUUUCGUAGUUAUCUUUGGAAAUAACGUUAAUGAUCAAGCUACAACAUUAAUACCACUUGUAAGUCAGAAGAUAGGGAAAAAGUGUUUGGAAAUUUUCAAGAAAACUCGACAAAAGAAAAACUUACAAAAAUAAUUAUACAAACUUUACAUCCUUAUGCACAUUGUUUAUAUGAAUUUUGAAUGAACUUGUAUGAUUUAAUUAUAUAUAGUGAAACAUUAGGAAAUAUGAAAUAUUGUGUAUAUAAAUUAUUAUAUUAAUCUCGUCGUUAAAUGUCACACAAGACUUUUAUCUAAUUCUUUGAAAUUUUUAUCCUCGUUUGUAAGAUUAUAAAACUUUCCGUGUCUGCCUAUACCUUCUUCGACAAACUUCUUUGCACCUUCUAUGCCUUCUUCUGUUACAAGAUGAAGGGCAUUGUCUUUUUCAAAUUGCAAUGCCUCAUCCAUUUGCUUAGAUGAAAAAGUAGCAAAGUGCAUAGAGGUACGAUCUGCCAGUAAAGUUUUUUGAGGAAAUUUUAUCAAUGAUUUUGCAUAAUUGAUAGCUGUACCCAGACCAGUACCGUGUGCAGUACAUUUAGUGGCAAGUCCAAUAUUGAAAGCUUCUUCUCCGCUAAUAGCUUUCCCUGUCAAAAUUAGAUCCAUGGCUCUAGCAUAUCCAAUCAUUGCUGGUAAACGAACUGUACCACCGCAUAAAAUAGGUAUUCCAAAACGCCUAUUCAAAAAUCCUAUGACAGCAUUUUCCUCAAUGACUCGUAGAUCACACAUUAAUGCCAAUUCUAAUCCAGCACCCAAGACAUAUCCAUUUAAACAAGCUACCAAUGGUUUACUGGUCAAUUCGCUUUUAUUGGCCUGUUUUAAUCAAUUAAGUUUUAUUACGUCUAUGAAUAAAUGUCCAUAAAAUAUUUCCUUAUAUAAAGAUAUAUCGACUUGCCAGUGUUCCAUAUUGUGGUAGAUUAUCUUCUUUUUCUUGAUUAUAAUUUGCAAUUUCAUGUAGAUCAAAACCUGAACAGAAAUUUCCACCUAUACCGUGCAAUACACCCACAACAGCAUUUUCAUCCUUCUCAAAUUCAUCCAAUGCAUCACAAAGUAAUUGAGCUGUUGCACUGUCCAAAGCAUUCUUCUUCUCUGGCCUAUUUAUAGCGAUUAAAGUAAUUUUGUCGCUUUUAUUAACGAUAAUACUUUUCUCUAAAAAAUAAAACAAAAAAGAUUUUAUUAUAUAUAUAUAUAUAUAUUUUUUUUUUUUCUAUAGAAAUUAUAGAACCUUACCUUUUUCUGUAUUUUC